Molecule: long non-coding RNA, 561 nt
Organism: Alligator mississippiensis (American alligator)
Lineage: Eukaryota; Metazoa; Chordata; Crocodylia; Alligatoridae
Exons: 2
Source: RefSeq, a predicted model, not a curated record
CACCCCAUCUCCUCCCCCACAGCAUGGACAGGAGGUGCGCAGACCUGGAGUCCAGCCUGAAGCACCUGGGCAAGGCAGAGCUGAAGGAGUUCAAGGUCAAACUGAACAAGUAUAAGCCCCAGGGAGGCUGCGCGGCCACUUCGUGGAGCCCUACGCCUUGCAGGUAGCUGCCGACAUCAUGGCUCUCAUCAACAAGAAGGACCUGGAGUCGACGCUGCGGCAGGCCCAUGACCUGAUCUCCAUCGAAGCCGUGCAGCUGCGAUAGCCCACCUUGGACAGAGAUGCUGGAGGCUGCAGACAUGGCCGGUGACUGACCACACAGGCGGCCAAGGCAGCACGUGCCUGAGCAGCGAAUGACGUGAGUUGCAGCUGUACACUAUGCAAUGAGUAACCAAGCAGCUUGCCUUUCCCAUGAAAGAUAGCUAGAAACCAGCAAUAGAGUUGUUUCAAGCACCAACGUUGUAGCUGGCUAAAUCUUUUGUAACUGGACGGCUAUUUUUCUAUCACGGUCAUUUCUUUAUACAUGCGGCCGGCGUGAAUAAAUGGCAUGGUGGAGCAGUC